ACUGCUCAGUAACACGUGGAUAACCUGCCCUUGGGUCCGGCAUAACUCCGGGAAACUGGAGAUAAUUCCGGAUAACGCAUAUAUGCUGGAAUGCUUUAUGCGUAAAAUGGAUUCGUCUGCCCAAGGAUGGGUCUGCGGCCUAUCAGGUAGUAGUGGGUGUAAUGUACCUACUAGCCAACAACGGGUACGGGUUGUGAGAGCAAGAGCCCGGAGAUGGAUUCUGAGACAUGAAUCCAGGCCCUACGGGGCGCAGCAGGCGCGAAAACUUUACAAUGCGGGAAACCGUGAUAAGGGGACACCGAGUGCCAGCAUCAUAUGCUGGCUGUCCAGGUGUGUAAAAUACACCUGUCAGCAAGGGCCGGGCAAGACCGGUGCCAGCCGCCGCGGUAACACCGGCGGCCCGAGUGGUGAUCGUGAUUAUUGGGUCUAAAGGGUCCGUAGCCGGUUUGGUCAGUCCUCCGGGAAAUCUGACAGCUCAACUGUUAGGCUUUCGGAGGAUACUGCCAGACUUGGAACCGGGAGAGGUAAGAGGUACUACAGGGGUAGGAGUGAAAUCUUGUAAUCCCUGUGGGACCACCUGUGGCGAAGGCGUCUUACCAGAACGGGUUCGACGGUGAGGGACGAAAGCUGGGGGCACGAACCGGAUUAGAUACCCGGGUAGUCCCAGCCGUAAACGAUGCUCGCUAGGUGUCAGGCAUGGCGCGACCGUGUCUGGUGCCGCAGGGAAGCCGUGAAGCGAGCCACCUGGGAAGUACGGCCGCAAGGCUGAAACUUAAAGGAAUUGGCGGGGGAGCAC
RNAcentral lists this ribosomal RNA (796 nucleotides) under uncultured Methanosarcina sp. RNAcentral describes it as "SSU rRNA". It matches the Rfam family "Archaeal small subunit ribosomal RNA", at positions 85 to 879 of the family's 1478-position model. The record is from RNAcentral. Lineage: Archaea; Methanobacteriati; Methanobacteriota; Methanomicrobia; Methanosarcinales; Methanosarcinaceae.